RNAcentral lists this transfer RNA (72 nucleotides) under Sphaerodactylus townsendi. RNAcentral describes it as "tRNA-Ala". The record is from RNAcentral. Lineage: Eukaryota; Metazoa; Chordata; Lepidosauria; Squamata; Sphaerodactylidae.
GGAGUCCUUGCUCAGGGCUAGAGCAUCUGCUUGGCACGAGGAAGGUCCCGGGUUCGAUCCCCAGCAUCUCCG